UGAUGGCAUUGUGCAUGUGGUUAACUUCCAGUUCUCUUCCCCUCUUCUUAAGCAUUCUUCUUCCUCCUCUUCAACACCCUCCCCCUGCCCCCCAAUCAGUUCCAUCAGUCCAUCUCGCCUGCAUGCCUGGGGGACUGCUGCUCACUUGCCAUAGACACUCUCAUCACUGUAGGCCACAUAGAGAAAAUAGUCCUCCUCGUGGUUAUCCUCAUACAGCUGACCCAUGGUAGCACUUGUGGGAGGGAUGGUAUUAUUGACAAAGAAGAAUAGUGCGUCCUCUGGCCUCAGGUGGAUCCGCUUUCGGAUUAAGAAGUAGAACUGCCCAACUGUGAGGUCAGAAGGCACAAGAUACUUCCUUUUGUCUAGAUCAGGUACUCUGGCUUUUGGUGCUUUUUCCACAAUUACGGGGACUCUGUCGGGGUAUUUCUUCCUGAUUUUCUCGCCUUCUUUUUUCCUGUACUCGAACGGGUGGUCUUCCUUGUACUGGAACUUCAUGAUGCGACACCGCCGAGCCGGCCACUGCUCUCCCUCCGUCACCUACGACCGAGCACUCAGCAAACGCUACGACGCCCGCGCAGCGUACGCAAGCCGAGCACAGCGGAGCGCAGCUCCGUGCCGUGCCGCUGCGUGACGUCACAGCGACGUACCCUCCCCUUCCGGCACGGUCGCCAUUGCAGCGGUGUGGGAGCGCUUACACCUACAGGCUGCGCCGCUCUCGUGUGUGUCUGUGGCGGUGUGGCGGGCGGUUGUCUUUACGUUGCGUUCCUGUGCUUUUCGUUACUUUCAUAAGAAUCAUAGAACGGCCUGGGUUGAAAAGGACCACAAUGACCAUCGAGUUUCAACCCCCCUGCUACGUGCAGGGUCGCCAACCACCAGACCGGGCUGCCCAGAGCCACAUCCAGCCUGGCCUUGAAUGCCUCUAGCCGCCAAAAUAAUCAUUACAUGCGUGACUCAGGGGCUAUCCAUGCAGCUGCGUGUCCAUCCCCAUGCACCAUCCUAUGCGGUGUCCACGUGUGAGCGCCUUCACCUGUCCGAUGAGUCUGUUCUGUACGUGGUUAUGGGCUACACAGUGGAAGAAAAAGAGAAGAAAAAGGAGAAAAAAGAAGGCUGUUUUUUGUGUCUGUCCCUGUUGUUAGCAGAGCACAAUGCCACAGUGAUAAAAGCUAAGACCUCCACGCAAGGCCAAAUUGUCUCACUCUGCAAUUAGGUUGGGAUGCAACAGGCAGGCGUCAAGAUUCUCCCCUCUAUCCUCCUUAGCUUCUACAACCCAGUAUAUAUCAUUAAAAAACAGGUUAACACCCCAGUAUAUAUCACUAAAAGACAGAGGAAGACCACUGGAUGAAGCAAAAGGCUGUCGGUUGGACUGUCGUGAUGCUAAAAGGACGCUAGACGGUAGAAUAGACCAUGGAAUAGAAGACUGGAAACCUCAUCAAUCACUGUCUGAGAUAGGCGUGUGUGUUAAGUGUCUCACACAUAAUUGAUGAGGAUGUACUAUCUGUAGAAAUAUAAUGGACUCUGAAUCAUGUGGCCUUCCAGUACUUGAAGGGAGCAUAUAAACAGGAGGGGGGAAAGCUGUUUAUGAGGGUGGAUAGUGAUAGGACAAGGGCGGAUGGUUUUAAACUGGGACAGGGGAGGUUUAGGUUAGAUGUUAGGGAGAAGUUUUCCACCCAGAGGGUGGUGACGCACUGGAACAGGUUGCCCAAGGAGGUUGUGGAUGCCCCAUCCCUGGAGGCAUUCAAGGCCAGGCUGGAUGUGGCUCUGGGCAGCCCGGUCUGGUGGUUGGCGACCCUGCACAUAGCAGGGCGGUUGAAACUCGAUGGUCAUUGCGGUCCUUUUCAACCCAGGCCAUUCUGUGAUUCUAUGUAAUCUUGGAAGCACUUAUGGUGGAAAUAUCCCCAGUGCUUCCCGGUGCCUCUAAUGAAGAAUACCUGACUUAAUGCUAACAAAACUUUGCUGUUAAGUUCCUAUGCAUUGAUUUUUUCGAAUCACAGGUGUGUCACAUAAUGUCCCAGGCCAGAGGCACAUUAGAAGCAGCAUGUGGUGAAGGGAGUUGACUGCAAAGAAGCCUAAACAGCCAGCCAAUUUUUGAUGAUACACACAGGAAUUUCAUCUUUUGUUCUUUGUUUGUUUGUUUGUUUUUUGUUUGUUUGUUUGUUUCUGAGUGUGGCUAGGCUCACAAUACUGACCAGAAAAAGAGAAGGUGCUGAAGUAUGGAUCUGCAUGGUCAAAUCAGUACUGGAAAAAAAAUGCUGCUGCCCUGGGGACAUUGAACAGGAGUGCAUCAAAUAAUUAUUCCACUGCAUGAUUCAUCCAUAGAAGUGGAACUUGUCCAAGAAUGAUGUUUUAUUUGUGCAGCAGUUUUGGUAGUAGCAGUGAGUGCUGUGUGGAAUAGUAGAGUGAUUAGAACAAGGCAACACGCAAAGGCCACACCUGGAGCAGAGGUAAGAGAAUGCAGGUUCACUGUAUUUUAUUCAACCCUGUGCUAGCCUGUUGGCACAGGAUUGAUAUGAGUAGGAAAAUACACACACAGUUGCUAUUUUGCAGGCAGCAUGAUUCCAUAGUGUAGUUAGAAUGGACAAUAACU
RNAcentral lists this long non-coding RNA (2584 nucleotides) under Gallus gallus (chicken). Lineage: Eukaryota; Metazoa; Chordata; Aves; Galliformes; Phasianidae. The record is from RNAcentral.